Molecule: long non-coding RNA, 549 nt
Organism: Manacus vitellinus (golden-collared manakin)
Lineage: Eukaryota; Metazoa; Chordata; Aves; Passeriformes; Pipridae
Exons: 2
Source: RefSeq, a predicted model, not a curated record
CAAGGAGAGUGAUCUGUAGCUUUCCAGCCCUCUUGUCCCACCUGCCUACACACUGUCACUGAAGGGUCACCUCACUAGAUGCUUCAAGGCACUAGUAUGGCAGCUUGUGGGGAAUCCUGGCUGGGCUGGGAUCCCUGGUAUAGAACAAGAAACUGGCUGAGAAUGGAGGCCCUGGUCCUGACCACGUACUGAUGCAUCCUGAGAGAGCAGAGGAGCAGCAGGAGAAGAGCUGUCCCGUGGGAACAGGGAACACUGUCUCAUGAGAAGGAGGACUUGUUUUGAACAGAGUGACUGAGAAAAAUAUAAACAUCAGAGGAAAACAGGGACAGGUGCACAGAAAUGUUGUGAGAAAGUAGGACUGAGAAAGUCCAGAGAAAGUCCAGCUAAAAUCUACCUAUUAGCUGUGAGAAUUGUAGUUUGUGUAUUCAAGCUGACCUAUCUGUGUGAUACACGUGUACAAAAAGAACUGUAUUUAAGAGGCUGUAAAUCGCAGCUCGUGGCUGCUGCUGCUUCCUUAUUCUUUCCAAUAAACUUUCUUGCUGAAUAUUA